This is a long non-coding RNA of Brienomyrus brachyistius, 3608 nucleotides long. RefSeq lists it as uncharacterized. The record is from RefSeq and is a predicted model, not a curated record. The transcript has 7 exons. Lineage: Eukaryota; Metazoa; Chordata; Actinopteri; Osteoglossiformes; Mormyridae.
UUGAUACAAAAGCAAUAUACAUGGAGUUGACAAAAUGCACCAAACAGGUUAUUAAUAAUAAGCACCAUAUUGUGUCACGGUAAGGGGAUUGCAACACUGUCCCUAAGCGAGGCGAGGGAGCGUCGUUUGGCUCAUGCUCCCACAAAGCUUUGCAAGAGACCCUACAAUGAAAUCUAAGACGUUUUUUUUACGUUUCGGCGCCAUUUUCGAUUGGACUGGAGCCACCGUUGACAAAUGAGAGGAGUGCUGAGCAGACAAGUUGAGGCCUGCAACGAAGGUAAGGCCUACUUCGUAUCGUAAUUGCCGUUUCAACCCACUCCUGCUUUUCCUCCACUGACCUGUAGGGGAGCCCUCGACCCCCGCACUCCUAUCCACCCUCGUCCUCUGAAACUUGACCGCGCGAGCAUGAUGCACCAAACCUUGCCAAAACAGUUGUGCCCAGCCAGAGUUUCCCAAAAUUUUGCAAAUGCGCACCGAAGCUGUUAAAGGAUGAAAAACGUUACUGGUAAACUUCAGUGUGCUGGUGAAAGUCAGAAGUGCGUGGAAAUAAAGAUUCAGUGGGGAAAUUGCAGCUGCAUCCGUGUAACUGAAAUUAUAAAUGUUUCACGUCCUGAAACAGUAAUGCAAAAGUUAUAUUUUUAAGCGUGUGAAAGGUUGUGUUUUAUUACAGGCGGAUGCUUAAUGAGGUGUGUGAAUUUGGCUUUUACUCCAAGAUGGAUGCGUAUCGGGGGGGUUUCAUGACAGUUACAGGCAGGCUGAGUGCCCACCCAACAGGACAUGCGUGGGGUUCAGAUAGGGAGGUGGGGUGACGGUGCAGCAACUAGCUUGUAAUUUGCGGUUUUGGAUGGAGGCUGGAAGCUUCCAGCAAACGUUCUUAGUGUUAAUGGCAUUUAGCCUUAACACUUUCGACAAUCUGUAAUUAUUGAUAUUUACUAGUGGAUCUAUUUCCAAGAUGAUGAUAUAAUGUCAUGUAAGACACGCUUGGAUUGAUGAUAUCAGAGGAUCACCCAGCUGAUGAGCAGUGACAAUCUGACGGCAUUUCCCUUAGGGGGGAACGGAAUUGAGCUAAACAGCGCUGGUAACCUGCCACACUGUGCGCAAGGGUGUAAAUGGGUCGUAUUUAUUUGAUCAAAUUUAUUCUUAUUAUUAAAUGGUAUUAAAAUUUCUUUAUUGAAUAGUAGCAAUAGGUUUUCAUUCCUCUUAUUUGGUCAAAUGCAGAUUUCUGCAGAUGUACUUUUUUUAAAACUCAAGAAGAGUUGAGCUGAAAUGAGACCCAACGUACACCGACCACUGUCACCGGGAUUUGGUACAUAACAAAGCUCCUGGACUGGGACUUAAGGUUGUUCAUCCCUCACACAUUAAGGAGACUCAAUUACUCAAGCUUUGUAAGGUGACACUGAUGCGUGACCCAUAUUUUGUGGCGUGGCAGUGUGAACACAUUACCUCUGUUGUUUUUUUUUUUCUUCUUGAAAUGGAGAACUUCUCGGCUUUGCCUGUAAGUGCUGGGCGUUUUACAAAAUAAGAAAAAGGGAAGUUUUUCACAGUCGACUGUAAAGCUGAGUGACAAAAAGAGAAGCCUAAGUGCGACUGAGACUGCACUUGUUUCCCGUAACUGUCCAGGCUCAAACUGCAGGUGACCCACAUCACGGAGGCCUGAGGGUCCCUACUGGCAAAAAAGUGGACCCUCUCUGGGACUGAAUUGGGAAACGCUGCUGUAGAAAGUUCCAGCAGCCCCUUACCAUUCUCUUCCCCCUCUUGAUCUCCUGGAUGACCGUUUUGACGUCAAAGUUCCCAAAUUCAGCACGCGAGGUGGUGGUAAGCUGGACGGUCCCGGAUGAAAACAACUGCGUAAAGAAAAGAUGUUUUUCUCCAAAGCAGCGUGCUGCAAAAAACAGCAGAGCCAGACAGCCUCGCUCAGGAGCCCAACGGUGAAAUUCACUCUGCCGACUCAGGGAUUUGAACCGGUGACCUUCCGAUCACACUGCUUGAGCCACACACCAAUAAUUUCUGGCUGAAAACGAAGUCUAGGCAGAAUCCAUCUACAUUUAACAUUUUUAACUGGGAGAAUCUUGGCCGCAAUGUUCCGCCCAUCUACACUGCAGGCUUUCACACGUUCGUAACUUGGAUAGACCCGAAUGCUGUUAAUCUCAGAGUUAACUGUAUUCCCCAGACCCUGGUGUUUUAUAUAGGGCAGGGGGUGGGGGUGGUAACCCUCUCCAAUAAUUAAAACCGGGUAAUACAACCCCCCCCCCCCCCCCCGAAUAAUCAUAAAUGGAUGUUGACCUCACCCCCCAAUGUUCAAAUCAAAGUUACACCUGAUUUAAAGAGUCCCCAAACAAGGAGAUGUUUGGUCUUUAUCCCUGUUCUAACUAAGAACUUUAGCUCCUGUUGGGGGGGGGGGUACUGAUGAUAUGCGCUCAACAGGGGUGCCGCAGCUAAUGCAGGUACCUUCACUGGAGUCCUGUGUGGCAUCACGGUGCUUACGACAGUAGACACUGCGGAGGAAAGACAACGUGAGGAAAGCGGGGAGGAGAUGAGGCGAUGUCUUAAAGGCAAAGUGUGCAGCCACCCGAAAAGGCUCUGCCGUGAUGUACCUGCUGAGUGGUAGGACACUGGGAUUACUGGGAGGCCAGUACAACUGUAUGAGGGAGGAAACGGCUCACCGGGAGCGCAACACUUACAGGUAGAUGCCCUGUGAUGGGUUUUCCUUCACCUGCGCCUUGUCCCACAGGGCGCAGUAGAAGUGGUACGUUCUCCUGCAAGUCUUCACAUCGCAGCCGAUGGUGGCACCAGGGCGGUGGCAGGAGGAACACAUCUGCGUGAGGACGAUAAUGGAGCAGCAGCUCCUGGAUUUGAGCCUGGCUGACGCGCCAUCCUGGGUUGUUCCCUGCCUUGCCCACGACCCUGAAUAGGAUAAGCAGUUUCGGAAGAUGGAUGGAUGGAUGGAUUUGAGCCUUUGACAUCCUGCAUUCUGAGGUCACGUCUGCCGAUACGCCCCAAUCUGGUUACAUUCAGACUGGCGCACUGAGCACAUAAGGCUUCACCACCGAGAGCAUCAAGACAGCAGGUGAAAAGAGGGGAUCCUCUAACUGUCACCUCCACCAAAAUGACCAUUUCGUUCUCUUUCGACAGAAGGUGUUUCAACCCCCCACACAGAAGAAGUUGAAGUUUUUAAAAAGUAGAUAAUGUCUUAGCGAAAGUUUUCUGUGCAGCAAAAUCUUACCGAUAAAAUAUUUCUAUAUUUGUUUGUGAGUUCAAUUAUUGAGUUAAAAUUUCAAGUGCCAGGCAGAGGCACUGACAGCCACCAGGCAGAGGCACUGACAGCCACCAGGCAGAGGCACUGACAGCCACCAGGCAGAGGCACUGACAGCCACCAGGCAGAGGCACUGACAGCCACCAGACGGCUUGAGUUCUGCGAUGUCUGUAUUCCUCCCGUCUAAGGCACUGGGAAGACCGAGACUGGGACUGAAAGGUGGCCAGCUGAGAAGGUGGAGGGGGGGGUACACCCACCAUGAGGACACAUGUGUCUUGUGUUUUAAACUCUGACACGCAUCUCAAUGAGUGAGACAGAUGUUGUUUCUGGUAGAAAUUAGAAAUAUAUAUAUAUA